AGAAUACCAGUGCUCAUUAAUAUUCAGCCACCCUUGCAUUUAGAUGUAGCCAAUAUAUUUAUGUUGUAAGUAGAUUCCUUUGGUUACAAUGAAAAUAAAAGACCACAGGAGAAUAAGUGAUAAAUCAACAAGACCAGUUAGGAUGCUAUUGCAGUAUUUUUGGAAAGAAAAACUAGUAAGACUAGAACAGUGAGAUAUGGAAACAGAACUACUUUUUCUGCAACAGGUUGCUGGCAGAACACAGGUGUCUUGAAAACUAUCUCUAAAGAUGCUGUGUCGCGCCACUGUAGUGGCUUCUUCCUCUGCCUUUCUCUUCCUCCGCUGUCGCCUCCCAACUCUAGUCAGCCUCCGGCCGGCCGUCUCCUUAACACAGAACACCAUGCCUUCAAUUAAGUUGCAGAGUUCUGGUGGAGAGAUAUUUGAAGUUGAUGUGGAAAUUGUCAAACAAUCUGUGACUAUCAAGACCAUGUUGGAAGAUUUGGGAAUGAAUGAUGAAGGAGAUCAUGACCCAGUUCCUCUACCAAAUGUUAAUGCAGCAAUAUUAAAAAAGGUCAUUCAGUGGUGCACCCACCAUGAGGAUGACUCACCUCCUCCCAAAGUUUAUGAAAACAAAGAAAAGCGAACAGACGAUAUCCCUGUUUGGGACCAAGAAUUUCUGAAAGUUGACCAAGGAACACUUUUUGAACUCAUUCUGGCUGCAAACUACUUAGACAUCAAAGGUUUGCUUGAUGUUACAUGCAAGACUGUUGCCAAUAUGGUCAACAGGAAAACUCCUGAGGAGAUUCACAAGACCUUCAAUUUAAAAAAUGACUUUACUGGGCCAGGAGCUGUGGCUCACGCCUGUAAUCCCAGCACUUUGGGAGGCUGAGGCAGGCGGAUCACGAGGUCAGUAGAUUGAGACUAUCCUGGCUAACACGGUGAAACUCCGUCUCUACUAAAUAAAUACAAAAAAUUUAGCCGGGCGUGGUGGCGGGUGCCUGUAGUCCCAGCUACUCGGGAAGCUGAGGCAGGAGAAUGGUGUGAAUCCGGGAGGGGGAGCUUGCAGGGAGCCAAGAUGGCGCCACUGCACUCCGGCCUGGGCCACAGAGUGAGACUCUGUCUAAAAAUAAAAAAAAAAAAAAAAAAUUACUUUACUGAAGAGUGGGAAGCCCAGGUACACCAAGAGAACCAGCAGUGUGAAGAGAAGUGAAAUGUUAUGCCUGACACUGUAACACUGUAAGGAUUGUUCCAAAUACUAGUUGCACUGCUCUAUUUAUAGUUGUUAGUAUUAGACAAACAGUAGACAAAUGCAGCAGCAAGUCAAUGGUAUUAGCGGAAUAUUGUCCUCGUUGCAUGUGUAGUUUGAGUACAGAUUCCAAACCUAUGGCUGAGUUUCUUCCAGUAUGAUCAAAAGUUUCUUUGAAUAAAACUGAACUGUAGGUUCUCUGUAAGUGGAAUUUUGGCCUUUCCCUCUUUUUUGUAAAGCAAUGUCUGCCUAGUUUAUUGUCCAGUUAACUUUAGUGACCUUUUAAAAGUUGGCACUGUAAAUAAACCAGCUUGCAAAAAAAGUUUUCUGGACUAGAAUUAACAAAAUGUUAUUUUUAUUCAUGAGUUGGAAACUGGAAAAAGGCUUCUUGAAGUAAAUGUUCUGAGUGGAGUUACUAGAAUGUCUUCCAACCUCCUGCAGUCAAGGAGAACCACUGUAUUGAUUAACCUGUAUGUAGCAGGGCUCCCUUCAUUGCAUCUGAGGACUUGUUUUCUCUUUCUUUAAUUUUAUUUUUAAUCCUCUUGGCUUUAAAUAUAUUGCCUAGAGACUCAGUUACUACCCAGUUUAUGGUUUUUUUGGGGAAAUGUAACUGGACAGUUUGUUAGCUUUUCAAUUAAAAAGACACUUCACCUAUGG
Molecule: RNA transcript, 1882 nt
Organism: Homo sapiens (human)
Lineage: Eukaryota; Metazoa; Chordata; Mammalia; Primates; Hominidae
Gene: SKP1P2
Gene name: SKP1 pseudogene 2
Exons: 1
Source: RefSeq, marked validated